This 148-nucleotide non-coding RNA is filed under the name Chlorocebus sabaeus (green monkey). The record is from Rfam by way of RNAcentral. Lineage: Eukaryota; Metazoa; Chordata; Mammalia; Primates; Cercopithecidae.
GCCGGGUGCAGUGGUGAGCACCUGUAGUCCAGGCUCCUCAGGAGGCUGAGGUAGGAGGAUCAUUAGAGUCCAGGAGGCCAAGGCUGCAGCGAGCUAUGAUUGUGCCACUGCACUCCAGCCUGGACGAAAGAGUGAGACCCUGUCUCAA